Molecule: transfer RNA, 83 nt
Filed under: Canis lupus familiaris (dog)
Lineage: Eukaryota; Metazoa; Chordata; Mammalia; Carnivora; Canidae
Also listed under: 1 other name
Rfam family: tRNA
About the family: Transfer RNA (tRNA) molecules are approximately 80 nucleotides in length. Their secondary structure includes four short double-helical elements and three loops (D, anti-codon, and T loops).
Source: Rfam by way of RNAcentral
ACCUGGGUGGCUCAGUGGUUGAGCCUCUGUCUUUGGCUCAGGACGUGAUCCCGGAAUCCUGGGAUCAAAUCCCACAUCAGGUU